UGGUGGGUAGUUUGACUGGGGCGGUCUCCUCCUAAAGAGUAACGGAGGAGCACGAAGGUUGGCUAAUCCUGGUCGGACAUCAGGAGGUUAGUGCAAUGGCAUAAGCCAGCUUGACUGCGAGCGUGACGGCGCGAGCAGGUGCGAAAGCAGGUCAUAGUGAUCCGGUGGUUCUGAAUGGAAGGGCCAUCGCUCAACGGAUAAAAGGUACUCCGGGGAUAACAGGCUGAUACCGCCCAAGAGUUCAUAUCGACGGCGGUGUUUGGCACCUCGAUGUCGGCUCAUCACAUCCUGGGGCUGAAGUAGGUCCCAAGGGUAUGGCUGUUCGCCAUUUAAAGUGGUACGCGAGCUGGGUUUAGAACGUCGUGAGACAGUUCGGUCCCUAUCUGCCGUGGGCGCUGGAGAACUGAGGGGGGCUGCUCCUAGUACGAGAGGACCGGAGUGGACGCAUCACUGGUGUUCGGGUUGUCAUGCCAAUGGCACUGCCCGGUAGCUAAAUGCGGAAGAGAUAAGUGCUGAAAGCAUCUAAGCACGAAACUUGCCCCGAGAUGAGUUCUCCCUGACUCCUUGAGAGUCCUGAAGGAACGUUGAAGACGACGACG
This 599-nucleotide ribosomal RNA is filed under the name Escherichia coli. RNAcentral describes it as "partial 23S ribosomal RNA". It matches the Rfam family "Bacterial large subunit ribosomal RNA", at positions 2259 to 2852 of the family's 2925-position model. Lineage: Bacteria; Pseudomonadati; Pseudomonadota; Gammaproteobacteria; Enterobacterales; Enterobacteriaceae. RNAcentral also lists the same sequence under 1 other name. The record is from RNAcentral.